UACGGGGGGGGCAAGCGUUGUUCGGAAUUACUGGGCGUAAAGGCGCGUAGGCGGCCAGCACAAGUCAGUUGUGAAAUCUCCGAGCUUAACUCGGAACGGUCAACUGAUACUGUGCGGCUAGAGUGCGGAAGGGGCAACUGGAAUUCUUGGUGUAGCGGUGAAAUGCGUAGAUAUCAAGAGGAACACCUGCGGCGAAGGCGGGUUGCUGGGCCGACACUGACGCUGAGGCGCGAAAGCCAGGGGAGCGAACGGG
RNAcentral lists this ribosomal RNA (253 nucleotides) under uncultured bacterium. RNAcentral describes it as "partial 16S ribosomal RNA". It matches the Rfam family "Bacterial small subunit ribosomal RNA", at positions 524 to 776 of the family's 1533-position model. The record is from RNAcentral.